UGCUGGAGGUAUCAGAAGUGCGAAUGCUGACAUAAGUAACGAUAAAGCGGGUGAAAAGCCCGCUCGCCGGAAGACCAAGGGUUCCUGUUCAACGUUAAUCGGAGCAGGGUGAGUCGGCCCCUAAGGCGAGGCCGAAAGGCGUAGUCGAUGGGAAACAGGUUAAUAUUCCUGUACUCGGUGUUACUGCGAAGGGGGGACGGAGAAGGCUAUAUCAGCCGGGCGACGGUUGUCCC
This 233-nucleotide ribosomal RNA is filed under the name Pantoea agglomerans. Its description in RNAcentral is "partial 23S ribosomal RNA". It matches the Rfam family "Bacterial large subunit ribosomal RNA", at positions 1271 to 1508 of the family's 2925-position model. Lineage: Bacteria; Pseudomonadati; Pseudomonadota; Gammaproteobacteria; Enterobacterales; Erwiniaceae. The record is from RNAcentral.